CACUUAUUUGUCACUUUCCAUUCUUUUUCGUGAAACAAAACCUUUUUUUCUCAUGCGCAUUGGCAAUUGACUACAUUUUCAAGUUGUGAACGAACAGCUGAAUUCAAUGAUUUUUUCCGUUAACAUAUUCAUUUACACUUUCCUAUUUCGAAGUAAUUUUUUUGUCUUUAUUCCCUAAAUAUUCUGUGGAGUAAUAGUGCGUCGAAAAAUUCUUUAAAACCCUCGGUACAGCUGUAGUUCAACAAUAAGCUCAAUAAACCGAAAAUAUUGUAUCAAAUAGUGAAUGAUCAUGUCUUCCUUGCUGAAAAUCAUGAAUUUUGGCCUUUUUAUCCAUUUCAAACUUUUUAUCAAUAAGUUAUGUAUAACCUAAUUUAUUCAUUUGUGGUUCAGUUAUGCAUUUGACAUUUUACCACAGAUGACUUCAAACCAGCCUCAGUAGACACCUCGAGACCGGCAGAGCUUGUUGUAGGUGACAAAAAUGAGGUCACAGUCACUGUUCCUAAUGUACAGGAUUCUGGUAACACUGUUUAUCGUGGUUCCAAAAGAAGUUGUACGAAGGAAUUUUUUUUGGUGGUUGAUAAAGAAAAAAAGACAUUUACACUGGACAGAAUUGAGUCUACUGUUCCUCAGCUCAAGAAAGUUAGGUAUCCCCACAAGCUUGCAGUUUUUUGGAAAAAAAGAAAGCCAGUAGUAUGGUUUGGAGGUAUUGAAAAUGGUUAUCGUGGUGUUCAUUUUUGGCUUGAGCCUGAUCCAGUGGAUACCAAACUUACUCUCCUUAGGGUAAGUUUAAGCAAAG
Molecule: long non-coding RNA, 796 nt
Organism: Pocillopora damicornis (cauliflower coral)
Lineage: Eukaryota; Metazoa; Cnidaria; Anthozoa; Scleractinia; Pocilloporidae
Source: RefSeq, a predicted model, not a curated record